Molecule: ribosomal RNA, 518 nt
Filed under: uncultured bacterium
Lineage: Bacteria
Description: bacterial SSU rRNA
Rfam family: Bacterial small subunit ribosomal RNA
Source: RNAcentral
GGACGAACGGCUGGCGGCGUGCCUAAUACAUGCAAGUCGAACGGUCUUUCUAUGGAAGCUUGCUCCACUGAGAAGAUAGUGGCGAACGGGUGAGUAACACGUGGGUAACCUGCCCAUAAGAGGGGGAUAACAUCCGGAAACGGGUGCUAAUACCGCAUAGUUUUCUUGAUCGCAUGAUUGAGAAAGGAAAGACGGCCUUUGUGCUGUCGCUUAUGGAUGGACCCGCGGCGUAUUAGUUAGUUGGUGAGGUAAUGGCUCACCAAGACGAUGAUACGUAGCCGACCUGAGAGGGUGAUCGGCCACAUUGGGACUGAGACACGGCCCAAACUCCUACGGGAGGCAGCAGUAGGGAAUCUUCCGCAAUGGACGAAAGUCUGACGGAGCAACGCCGCGUGAGUGAAAGAAGGUUUUCGGAUCGUAAAACUCUGUUGUCAGAGAAGAACAAGUUGGAGAGUAACUGCUCCAGCCUUGACGGUAUCUGACCAGAAAGCCACGGCUAACUACGUGCCAGCCGCGGC